Molecule: ribosomal RNA, 500 nt
Filed under: uncultured bacterium
Lineage: Bacteria
Description: bacterial SSU rRNA
Rfam family: Bacterial small subunit ribosomal RNA
Source: RNAcentral
AUUGAACGCUGGCGGCAGGCCUAACACAUGCAAGUCGAGCGGCAGCGGGAAAGUAGCUUGCUACUUUUGCCGGCGAGCGGCGGACGGGUGAGUAAUGCCUGGGGAUCUGCCCAGUCGAGGGGGAUAACUACUGGAAACGGUAGCUAAUACCGCAUACGCCCUACGGGGGAAAGCAGGGGACCUUCGGGCCUUGCGCGAUUGGAUGAACCCAGGUGGGAUUAGCUAGUAGGUGAGGUAAAGGCUCACCUAGGCGACGAUCUCUAGCUGUUCUGAGAGGAUGGACAGCCACACUGGAACUGAGACACGGUCCAGACUCCUACGGGAGGCAGCAGUGGGGAAUAUUGGACAAUGGGCGAAAGCCUGAUCCAGCCAUGCCGCGUGUGUGAAGAAGGCCUUCGGGUUGUAGAGCACUUUCAGUAGGGAGGAAAGGUUGUUGGUUAAUAGCCAAUAGCUGUGACGUUACCUACAGAAGAAGCACCGGCUAACUCCGUGCCAGCCGC